GACGAACGCUGGCGGCGUGCUUAACACAUGCAAGUCGAACGGAAAGGCCCCUUUGGGGGUCCUCGAGUGGCGAACGGGUGAGUAACACGUGAGUAACCUGCCCUUGACUUCGGGAUAACUUCAGGAAACUGGGGCUAAUACCGGAUAGGAAUCCUUGCUGCAUGGUGGGGGUUGGAAAGCUUCGGCGGUUUUGGAUGGACUCGCGGCUUAUCAGCUUGUUGGUGGGGUAGUGGCUUACCAAGGCUUUGACGGGUAGCCGGCCUGAGAGGGCGACCGGCCACAUUGGGACUGAGAUACGGCCCAGACUCCUACGGGAGGCAGCAGUGGGGAAUAUUGCACAAUGGGCGGAAGCCUGAUGCAGCAACGCCGCGUGCGGGAUGACGGCCUUCGGGUUGUAAACCGCUUUCAGCAGGGGCGAAGCUUGUGGUGAUGGUACCUGCAGAAGAAGCACCGGCUAACUACGUG
Molecule: ribosomal RNA, 465 nt
Filed under: uncultured bacterium
Lineage: Bacteria
Description: partial 16S ribosomal RNA
Rfam family: Bacterial small subunit ribosomal RNA
Source: RNAcentral